This 2324-nucleotide long non-coding RNA is filed under the name Mytilus galloprovincialis (Mediterranean mussel). The record is from RNAcentral. Lineage: Eukaryota; Metazoa; Mollusca; Bivalvia; Mytilida; Mytilidae.
UUGAUUGAUUAGUUGGUUGAUUGAUUGGUUGGUUGGUUGGUUGGUUGGUUGAUUAAACACGUUUGAUAGGGUCACUUAGAACAAGGGAAAAAAAACCUCAAGAGACCUUGCAUCCCGUAUUAAACGCAUGACACGGAAACAUACAUUAAGUGAUUGAUUGGUUGGUUGGUUGGUUAAACACGUUGGUUAAACAUGUUGGUUGAACACGUUGGUUAAACACGUUGGCUGGUUAAACACGUUGGAAAGGCUCAAUUUAAACAAGCGAAAAAAAACAUCUUGGAUCCCGUAUUUAACACAUGAAACGGAAACAUGCAUUGAUUGGUUGAUUGGUUGGUUGGUUGGUUGGUUGGUUGGUUGGUUAAACACGUUGGUUAAACACGUUGGUUAAACACGUUGGCUGGUUAAACACGUUUGAUAGGCUCAAUUUAAACAAGCGAAAAAAAAAAACAUCUUGGAUCCCGUAUUUAACACAUGAAACGGAAACAUGCAUUGAUUUAUUGGUUGGUUGGUUGGUUGGUUGGUUGGUUGGUUGGUUGGUUGGUUGAUUAAACACGUUGGUUAAACAUGCUGGUUAAACACGUUAGUUAAACAUGCUGGUUAAACACGUAGUUUAAACACGUUUGAUAGGCUCAAUUUUAACAAGCGAAAAAAACCAUCUUGGAUCCCGUAUUUAACACAUGAAACGGAAACAUGCAUUGAUUGGUUGAUUGGUUGGUUGGUUGGUUGGUUGGUUGGUUGGUUGGUUGGUUAAACAUGUUGGUUAAACACGUUGGUUAAACACGUUGGCUGGUUAAACACGUUAGAUAGGCUCAAUUUAAACAAGCGAAAAAAAACAUCUUGGAUCCCGUAUUUAACACAUGAAACGGAAACAUGCAUUGAUUGAUUGAUUGGUUGGUUGGUUGGUUGGUUGGUUGGUUGGUGGAUGGUUGGUUGGUUGGUUGUUGGUUGGUUGGUUAAACACGUUGGUUAAACAUGUUGGUUAAACACGUUGGUUAAACACGUUGGCUGGUUAAACACGUUAGAUAGGCUCAAUUUAAACGAGCGAAAAAAAAACAUCUUGGAUCCCGUAUUUAACACAUGAAACGGAAACAUGCAUUGAUUGAUUGAUUGAUUGAUUGGUUGGUUGUUGGUUGGUUGGUUGGUUGGUUGGUUGGUUAAACACGUUGGUUAAACAUGUUGGUUAAACAUGUUGGUUAAACACGUUUGAUAGGCUCAAUUAAAACAAGCGGAAAAAAAGAGACCUUGAAUCCCGUAUCAAACACAUGAAACGGAAACAUUGAUUGAUUGAUUGAUUGAUUGAUUGAUUGAUUGAUUGAUUGAUUGAUUGAUUGGUUGGUUGGUUGGUUGGUUGGUUGGUUGGUUGGUUGGUUGAAAUUCAAACACUCAUAAAACUGUUUAAAUAGUGCCAAAACCACAUAAUUUGAUGACCUUGACCUUUGACCUUGUGACCUUCGUCAAGGUCAUUGCUCCACAAGGUCAUUGCAAAAGACCCUAUGGGUCAAGGACCUUUUGUUUAAGAGUUUUGCCUAAAAAUGGCUUUUUAAAAACCAUCGAUGGGAGUUAUGUCCCUUAUAUGAUGGUAAAAUCAAUAUAGUCAUAAUGUAAAAAAGUUGCCCCUUAAAGUACCAAGCAUUUUUCACUGCUUAAUAUUUUUGUAUCUAUAACCGUUCAAGAAUUAUAGGGAAAUGAAAAACUUAUAAAAAUCUAAAAUAUGACCUUGACCUUUGACCUUGACCUAAUUUUCUAAGUUAGGACCCAGGGGACUCAAAUAAAAACAUUCCAGGGUUAUACGGUUAACGGUUUAUGAGUUUAAAAAAACAUACCGACAAAUUUAUUCCGUAAAGGUAGAUAACUCCUAUAAAAUUUCAUCGAAUCGCUUCGAUCCAAAUACGCCAAAAAUUACUGAGGAUGUAACGAACAAUUUGUAAAAAGAAUUUUGUCGCUAUCUUUUUUGUUACGAAGGAGAUGCACACAGAGGAUAAACAGUGAAAAGGGAGAUAACUCUUACAUAGAAAAUGGUUCGCCUUAGCAGGGUGAAAUUUAAAAGCGCAUAAACUAUACGAUACCAUAUGAGAAAUAUCUAAGCGACAUAUUGCGAAACAAACAUUUAUGCGCAAGAACAAAAUUUGGCGGAAGAAAAAAAUAAUAAUAAUAAUUAAAAACCAAUUGUUCAGAGAACAAUUGAAAGUCUUUCCACACCAAAGAAAUUUGGAUAAGAAGGUAGUUUCUUUAUACUGAUGCGAAAAAUGAUGGUUUAAUUAUCUUUUUGAGUGAUAUAAGGGAGAUAAUAUGCUACUUCCGGUGAAAUGAAUGUCACAUCCGGU